Molecule: ribosomal RNA, 498 nt
Filed under: uncultured bacterium
Lineage: Bacteria
Description: partial 16S ribosomal RNA
Rfam family: Bacterial small subunit ribosomal RNA
Source: RNAcentral
AUUGAACGCUGGCGGCAUGCCUUACACAUGCAAGUCGAACGGUAACAGGUCUUCGGAUGCUGACGAGUGGCGAACGGGUGAGUAAUACAUCGGAACGUGCCUAGUAGUGGGGGAUAACUACUCGAAAGAGUGGCUAAUACCGCAUGAGAUCUACGGAUGAAAGCAGGGGAUCGCAAGACCUUGUGCUACUAGAGCGGCCGAUGGCAGAUUAGGUAGUUGGUGGGAUAAAAGCUUACCAAGCCGACGAUCUGUAGCUGGUCUGAGAGGACGAUAAGCCACACUGGGACUGAGACACGGCCCAGACUCCUACGGGAGGCAGCAGUGGGAAAUUUUGGACAAUGGGCGCAAGCCUGAUCCAGCAAUGCCGCGUGCAGGAUGAAGGCCUUCGGGUUGUAAACUGCUUUUGUACGGAACGAAAAGCCCCGGGUUAAUACCCUGGGGUCAUGACGGUACCGUAAGAAUAAGCACCGGCUAACUACGUGCCAGCCGCCGCGGUAA